Molecule: ribosomal RNA, 451 nt
Filed under: uncultured bacterium
Lineage: Bacteria
Description: partial 16S ribosomal RNA
Rfam family: Bacterial small subunit ribosomal RNA
Source: RNAcentral
UGGGGAAUUUUGGACAAUGGGCGCAAGCCUGAUCCAGCCAUGCCGCGUGCGGGAAGAAGGCCUUCGGGUUGUAAACCGCUUUUGUCAGGGAAGAAAUCUUCUGAGUUAAUACCUCGGGAGGAUGACGGUACCUGAAGAAUAAGCACCGGCUAACUACGUGCCAGCAGCCGCGGUAAUACGUAGGGUGCAAGCGUUAAUCGGAAUACUGGGCGUAAAGCGUGCGCAGGCGGUUUUGUAAGACAGAGGUGAAAUCCCCGGGCUCAACCUGGGAACUGCCUUUGUGACUGCAAGGCUUGAGUGCGGCAGAGGGGGGCAUGGAAAUUCCGCGUGUAGCAGUGAAAAUUGCGUAGAUAUGCGGAGGAAUACCGAUGGCGAAGGCAAUCCCCUGGGCCUGCACUGACGCUCAUGCACGAAAGCGUGGGGAGCAAACAGGAUUAGAUACCCUGGUAGU